Molecule: ribosomal RNA, 395 nt
Filed under: Acanthamoeba genotype T11
Lineage: Eukaryota; Discosea; Longamoebia; Acanthamoebidae
Description: SSU rRNA
Rfam family: Eukaryotic small subunit ribosomal RNA
Source: RNAcentral
UUUCUGCCACCGAAUACAUUAGCAUGGGAUAAUGGAAUAGGACCCUGUCCUCCUAUUUUCAGUUGGUUUUGGCACGCGAGGACCAGGGUAAUGAUUAAUAGGGAUAGUUGGGGGCAUUAAUAUUUAAUUGUCAGAGGUGAAAUUCUUGGAUUUAUGAAAGAUUAACUUCUGCGAAAGCAUCUGCCAAGGAUGUUUUCAUUAAUCAAGAACGAAAGUUAGGGGAUCGAAGACGAUCAGAUACCGUCGUAGUCUUAACCAUAAACGAUGCCGACCAGCGAUUAGGAGACGUUGAAUACAAAACACCACCAUCGGUGCGGUCGUCCUUGGCGCGUCGYGGCUUGCYGCGGCGUGCGAGGGCGGUUUAGCCUGAUGGCAUCGGUGAAUGACUCCCCUAG